RNAcentral lists this ribosomal RNA (316 nucleotides) under Staphylococcus aureus. RNAcentral describes it as "bacterial LSU rRNA". It matches the Rfam family "Bacterial large subunit ribosomal RNA", at positions 2609 to 2925 of the family's 2925-position model. Lineage: Bacteria; Bacillati; Bacillota; Bacilli; Caryophanales; Staphylococcaceae. The record is from RNAcentral.
GUUCAGAACGUCGUGAGACAGUUCGGUCCCUAUCCGUCGUGGGCGUAGGAAAUUUGAGAGGAGCUGUCCUUAGUACGAGAGGACCGGGAUGGACAUACCUCUGGUGUACCAGUUGUCGUGCCAACGGCAUAGCUGGGUAGCUAUGUGUGGACGGGAUAAGUGCUGAAAGCAUCUAAGCAUGAAGCCCCCCUCAAGCUGAGAUUUCCCAACUUCGGUUAUAAGAUCCCUCAAAGAUGAUGAGGUUAAUAGGUUCGAGGUGGAAGCAUGGUGACAUGUGGAGCUGACGAAUACUAAUCGAUCGAAGACUUAAUCAAAA